Molecule: long non-coding RNA, 326 nt
Filed under: Nicotiana benthamiana
Lineage: Eukaryota; Viridiplantae; Streptophyta; Magnoliopsida; Solanales; Solanaceae
Description: long non-coding RNA (NBEN_LNC020697)
Source: RNAcentral
CAAAAGAGCAUUCUUAACUCCAGCAGAAAUAGCGUAAAUAAUUAUCUAAACAUAAGACCCAUAAAUAAAUAGCAUGCAAUAGUAUCAGACAGUAACUACCAUAAAUAACUACCAUAAGGAAGACACAAUCCAAUACACUAAUCAUCUAUGGAUAGCCCUACCAAGCCUCACCCAACCCCGGGUGAGGAGUACGAAAAACUCUAGGAGUGCCUAUCCUACAACCCUAAUACUAGACCUCCACACUUUCUUAUCAAGGGUCAUGUCCUCGGAAACCCACAUUCUAGCCAUGUCAUGCCUAAUCACCUCUCCCCAAUACCUCUUAGGCC